CAAAAGUCUGGGCUAAGCCCACUGAUGAGCCUUUGAGAUAAGGCGAAACUUUUG
RNAcentral lists this non-coding RNA (54 nucleotides) under Peach latent mosaic viroid. The record is from RNAcentral.